AACUGAUACUACCUGCGGGAACCUGCGGAGGGAUCAUUACUGAGUGAGGGCCCCUCGGGGUCCAACCUCCCACCCGUGUUUAACGAACCUUUGUUGCUUCGGCGGGCCCGCCUCACGGCCGCCGGGGGGCUCCUGCCCCCGGGCCCGCGCCCGCCGAAGCCCCCCCUUGAACGCUGUCUGAAGUUUGCAGUCUGAGAAACUAGCUAAAUUAGUUAAAACUUUUAGCAAUGGAUCUCUAGA
This 240-nucleotide unclassified non-coding RNA is filed under the name soil metagenome. RNAcentral describes it as "partial contains 5.8S ribosomal RNA, internal transcribed spacer 2, and large subunit ribosomal RNA". The record is from RNAcentral.